AACAUUUGUGUCGAUUGAAUAUGAAUGAUAUAAUAUCGUUAAAAAUGCGUUGGAAUCACUUGGUUUGAAUGUUGGAAAUUAGAUUCCAAACCCAUGCGAAUGAAGCGUAGAAAUUCAUCGACACUCAUGCCAUUUCUGGAGCAGAUUUUCCAAAGACUAGCAGUUUGUUCCAUUACUAGCUCAUCCAAACCAAGACGAUCAUAUUUCUUCGAUCGAUGCUUAGGUUCUUGGACAAGGUUUCUAGAUUCUUCUACAUCUUGAUUGGAAGGUUGGU
Schizosaccharomyces pombe (fission yeast) is the source of this 274-nucleotide non-coding RNA. The record is from the annotation of a GenBank genome assembly. Lineage: Eukaryota; Fungi; Ascomycota; Schizosaccharomycetes; Schizosaccharomycetales; Schizosaccharomycetaceae.